ACUUCCAGUCCCAAAAGACCAGUCACUUACCCCAGUCUAUGGCACCUUAGAUCUCUUACCAAAGAUAACACUUGUAGCUAAUCCUAUAAUAAACUAACUAAAGGUUUAUUAACUAGGAAAAAGAAAUGUGUUAUUUACAAGGUUAAAACAGGUAA
This is a long non-coding RNA of Dermochelys coriacea (leatherback sea turtle), 155 nucleotides long. RefSeq lists it as uncharacterized. The transcript is spliced from 3 exons. NCBI's taxonomy places the organism in Eukaryota, Metazoa, Chordata, Testudines, Dermochelyidae. The record is from RefSeq and is a predicted model, not a curated record.